This 30691-nucleotide long non-coding RNA is filed under the name Triticum aestivum (bread wheat). RNAcentral's name for it is "long non-coding RNA (TAES_LNC003050)". The stretch from base 14468 to 14591 matches the Rfam family "MIR1120/MIR1122 microRNA precursor family". The record is from RNAcentral. Lineage: Eukaryota; Viridiplantae; Streptophyta; Magnoliopsida; Poales; Poaceae.
UUUUUUUUUUAGGGUUUCGGGGAGAGGGAGAGAUCCGAAAACGGAGGGGUGUAUAUAUAGGCAUAGAGGGAGCUAGGAGAGUCCAAAUGAGGUGCGGUUUUCGCCCACACGAUCGUGAUCGAACGCUCUAGGACAUGGAGCAGAGUUUGGUGGGUUUUGGGCCAAAUUUGGGGGGUGUUGGGCUGCAACACACACGAGGCCUUUUCGGUCCCUCGGUUAACCGUUGGAGCAUCAAACGAAGUCCAAAUGAUACGAAACUUGACAGGCGGUCUACCGGUAGUAAACCAAGGCCGCUUGGCAAUUCUCGGUCCAAUACGGAAAUGUUUAAUCCCCACACAAGAAAGAAAGCUAGAAAUGACCACCGGAGGAGAACGAAGCGCCGGAAUGCAAAACGGACAACGGGGAAAAAUGCUCGAAUGCAUGAGAUGAACAUGUAUGCAAAUGCAAUGCACGUGAUGACAUGAUAAGGGAUGCACGAAAAAAGAAAAACAACACACGGAGACAAAGACCCAACCCGAGAAAUAAAUAUAACUUAGCGCCGGGGACGGCAAGAGUUGGAUACAAAUAUGGAAAGUAUAUCUGGGGCGUUACAACACUCCACCACUACGAAAAGAUCUCGUCCCGAGAUCUAGGACUGAAAGAACUCCGGGUAUUCAGAACGGAGGUGAUCCUCGCGUUCCCAGGUAGCUUCACGGUCGGAAUGGUGUGACCACUUAACUUUGAGAAAUUUGAUUGACUUGUUGCGAGUCUUGCGUUCAGUCUCUUCGAGAAUAGCAACUGGGUGCUCACGAUAGGAGAGAUCUUCUUGGAGCUCAAUGUCCUCGAAGUUGACGGUGCGGUCAGGAGUCUUGAAGCACUUUCGAAGCUGAGAGACAUGGAACACAUCAUGAACAUUUGCAAAGUUUGAAGGAAGCUCGAGUUGAUAGGCGAGGUCGCCUCUCUUGCUGACAAUCUUGAAAGGUCCCACGUAUCUAGGGGCAAGCUUCCCUUUGAUACCGAAGCGACGAGUACCUUUCAUGGGAGAGACGCGGAGGUAAACAUGAUCUCCAAUCUCGAAAGCCAGAUCACGAUGCUUACUAUCAUAGUAGCUCUUCUGGCGGGACUGGGCUGCUUUGAGGUUAUCACGAAUGACUUUGCACAUUUCUUCUGCUUCUGUGAUUAAGUCAUUACCCAGCAGCUGACGUUCACCGGUUUCAGACCAGUUGAGAGGGGUACGGCACUUCCUGCCAUACAGAAUUUCGAAGGGGGCCUUGCCCGAACUUGCUUGAAAGCUGUUGUUGUAUGAGAAUUCAGCAUAAGGAAGACAAUCCUCCCACUUCAUGCCGAAGGAGAUCACACAAGCCCUGAGCAUAUCUUCAAGAAUCUGAUUGACACGCUCGACUUGACCGCUCGUUUGAGGAUGGAAAGCUGUGCUGAAGCGGAUGUUGGUGCCCAUGGCCUUCUGAAAAGAAUCCCAAAACUUGGAGGUAAAGAUGCUGCCACGGUCUGAAGAUAUCACUUGAGGAAUACCGUGCAGAGAGACAAUGCGAGAGGUAUAGAGUUCCGCCAAUUGAGCUGCAGUGAUCGACUCUUUGAUAGGCAGAAAAUGAGCCACUUUUGUGAGCUUGUCGAUGACGACGAAUAUAGCAUCAUUGCCACGCUUGGACUUUGGAAACCCAGUCACGAAGUCCAUUUCAAUGUGGUCAAACUUCCAUUCUGGAAUGGCAAGAGGUUGGAGGAGACCAGCUGGCCUUUGGUGUUCUGCCUUCACUCUUCUACAGACAUCACAUUCGUUCACGAAUUGAGCGAUCUCGCGCUUCAUUCGAGUCCACCAAUAAGCUUGCUUGAGGUCCUGAUACAUCUUCGUACUACCAGGGUGGAUAGAGAGGAGAGAGUUGUGAGCCUCGUUCAUGAUCACCUUAUGAAGUUCACCUUUGGGCACAACAAUUCGAUCCUCGAAGAAGAGAGUGUCCUUGUCAUCAAGUCGGUAGCACUUGUACUUGGACUGACUCUUUGCAAUACCAAUCUUCACCUUCUUCACCAUAGCAUCAAGAAGUUGGGCUUGGCGAAUCUGGUCUUCUAAGGUAGGAGAGACUUGAACGUUGGCGAGGAAACCUUGAGGAACAACUUGCAGAUUAAGUUUGCGGAAAGCUUCACAAAGCUCGGGUUGAUAAGGCUUGAGAAUCAGACUGUUGCAAUAUGCUUUUCUGCUCAAAGCGUCAGCAAUCACAUUAGCCUUGCCUGGAGUAUACUCGAUACUCGGAUUGUGCUCUUGAAUCAUUUCAACCCAUCGAGUCUGCCUGAGGUUGAGAUUAGGCUGAGUGAAGAUGUACUUGAGACUCUUGUGAUCAGUGAAAAUAUCCACUUUCCUUCCCAAUAGAAGAUGUCUCCAAGUCAACAAAGCGUGCACAACUGCCGCCAACUCGAGAUCAUGAGUGGGGUAGUUCUUCUCAUUAGGUUUUAACUGGCGAGAGGUAUAAGCAACAACUUUCUUCUCUUGCAUCAGUACAGCACCGAGACCUUGGAGAGAGGCAUCACAAAAGACCUCGUACGGCUUGGUUUCAUCAGGCGGAGUCAGAACUGGAGCAGUGACCAAUUUCUCUUUCAAAGAGUUGAAAGCAAUAUCACACUCCGGAGACCAAACGUACUUGACGUGCUUCUGAAGAAGAUUUGAGAGAGGCUUGGCGAUCUUAGAAAAGUUUUCAACGAAUCUUCUGCAAUAGCUUGCGAGACCGAGAAAACUGUGGAGUUGCUUCACGUUCUGAGGAGGUUCCCAAUUCACAAUUGCGGACACCUUCUCAGGAUUCACGGAAAUGCCCUUGGCAGAGAUGAUAUGACCAAGAUAAAGAACCUCAUCGAGCCAAAAUUCACACUUGGAGAACUUGGCGUAGAACUGAUGUUCCCUGAGCUUGUCAAGAACCAAACGCAAGUGCUUGGCAUGAUCUUCCUUGUUCUUCGAGAAAACCAGAAUGUCGUCGAGAUAGACCAAAACGAAUUCAUUGGUGUAGGGGUUGAAGAUGAAGUUCAUCAUGCGAGAGAACGUCGGAGGAGCGUUGGCGAGGCCAAAAGACAUGACGGUGUAUUCAUAUGAACCAAAGCUUGUUCUGAACGCCGUCUUGGGAAUAUCUUGCUCACGAAUACGAAUCUGAUGAUAACCCAUACGGAGAUCAAGCUUGGAGAAUACUUGAGCACCCUUGAGUUGUUCGAACAGCUCAUUGAUGUUGGGAAGUGGGUAUUUGUUCUUGAUGGUCUUCUUGUUUACUGGACGGUAAUCAACACAAAGUCGACUCGAUCCAUCCUUCUUCUUCACAAAAAGAACACCACAACCCCACGGAGAAGUACUAGGCCGAAUGAGACCCAAUCUUUCUUGCUCAUCGAGUUGUUUCUUCAACUCCUUCAACUCUUCGGGGCCGAGCUUGUAGGGACGUUUGCACACAGGUUCCGUACCGGGCUCAAGUUCAAUAACGAAUUCAACCGGCCGGUUUGGAGGCAUCCCUGGAAGUUCUUCUGGAAAGACGUCUUGAUAUUCGCAAACGACAGGAAUCUGCGAAAUAGCAUCCAAUUCACCCUUCUCAUUGAGAGAAAACAACCGGAUGGUAUUAUCCCGAGCAGCAAAGACAAUUACAUCCUCAGACGAAUGAGUCAAUUGAAUCUGCCUAGCUGCACAAUCAAGCUGAGCUUUAUGCUUAGAGAGCCAGUCCAUCCCGAGAAUAAGAUCGAUAUCGGAAUUGCCAAGAACCACCGGAGAAGAGAGAAACUUGCAGUCGCCCAAAGUGAUUGUAACAUCCGGAACACACACUCGAGAUGUCAAGAGGCUGGCCGGAGAGUCAAUAGACAACAGUCUCGGCAACAUUUGAGUAACAAAAUCAUGCUUGGAAGCAAAAGGUCUCGAGAUGAAACAAUGCGAUGCACCAGUGUCAAAAAGAACUUUUGCAGGAAUAUCAUUAACAGGAAGGUUACCCAUGAUCACAUCUGAAGAAUCCUCUGCCUGAGCUGCAUUCACCAUAUUGACCUUGGCGUGCUUGGGAUUGUGCUUGACCACAGCUGUACUUGCCGAUCUGACGGGAGGAGGAGGAGGAAGACGCCUCUGGUUGGUACACUUGUUGGCAUAGUGACCCUUCUGUUGGCACUUGUUGCACGUGACCUCUGAAAGCGGACGGUGAUACGGAGCACUCGAUCUUGGAGCUUGAGACGAAGACUUGUUCUGAAAGCCUGGGUUGGGUGGGUGGGAGAAACCACUGCCACCUUUGCUCUUCUGCUGAUACGGCUGACGGAACGGAGGAGGAGGAAGCCAAUACUUCUGCUGCUUGACCACUUGAGUAGAGGAAGACGGAGUAACAUCUCUGGCACGCUUCCUGGAAGCAUCACAUCUCAUCUGAGCAGCCUCUUGCUUCAGUGCCAUGUUGUAGAACUCAUCGUAUCUCAACGGCUCAAAGAGAACAAGAGCGAGCUGAAUUUCCUCAUGAAGACCACCCCUGAACUGAUAGAUCAUGCUCUUCUCAUCAGGAACAUCCUGCUUGGCAAAACGGGCGAGCUUCUGGAACAACUUGUUGUAGUCAUAGACAGACAAAGAGCCUUGCUUCAGAUUGCGGAAUUCCUGAUGCUUACUCUCAACCACACUUUGAGGGAUGUGAUGAGCGCGGAAAUCUUGACGGAAAUCGUCCCAAGUGAUAACACGUCCACCUCUGGAAUCCUUGUACUGCUGGAACCACUCUGCAGCCUGAUCUUUGAGCUGGAAAGAAGCGAACUUGACAAAAUCUUCAGGCCUGACAUUGCUGCAUUCAAAAUGCUUGCCCAGAUCCACUAGCCAAUCGUCAGCAUCGGUAGCCUCAACACAACCGUUGAACGUCUUUGGGCCAUUUGCGAGGAACUGGUUCAGAGUAGCAAAGUGGUGCUGAUUGUGGCCUUGAUUCCCUUGACUGCCUUGAUUGCGCUCUUGGAGAAUUUGUAUGAUCAACUGUGUGUUUGCAUUAGUAGCGGCCAUCACAGCUUGCCAUGCUUCCGGAGGAGGCGGAGGUGGAGGCGGAUCAGGAUUCGGAGUCAUGCGCGUUGGAGGAGCCAUCCUGAAGAGGUUGACCACCAUUAGCACAUAGAUAGACAACAAUAUUGAAGCUGAAUCCAACGGAAUGAAAAUUGCAACAUAUAGUCUUCACAUCCGAACAAAAUGAACGAAUGCAUUCCUCUUCAAAUGAUCACAUAUCCAUAAAUUGAGAAGCCAUGAAGAAUUAAGGUAGAGAAAUAAAUCAACAAGGUACGGAUCAAGAACGAAUAAUCGGUAAGAAAUCCCAAUCUCAAACCAAUAUCCGUGGAAGAAGAACUAGAGCUACUAGAAUUCCCACCUAUGAAACUCCCGAACCUUUCCGGUUAUGCAAUCAGGUGUUGGGGAUACAGGGGAAGCACAAUAUCUCACCCAAACUAGCAAAUCCUACAUCCAGCUGUAUCCAUCCUUCAACACAUAACCAGGAAAACUUCGGAAACCAUCUACCUCAACCUUCGAAAAGCAUCCGUUAUACAAGUUAUGGCGAUACUCCCGAACUCCCGCCCCAGUACUGGGUGGCGUCGAGGUUAUCUCACCAACGAACUGCAUAAAAGAGAUUUUCGAUGUCGGCGAACAUAUCUCAAGUAUACCAGAAUUGCAACGAUAAAAUUGUGACGACAACACCUCGGAGCUCAACUCCCCGGGACACUGCCACAACCCCUAAAGACAGGAGGCACCAAGAACAAUGUUCUCGUCACAAAACCAUCGGAACAAAACCAAGAUACUCGCGUGAUCCUAAAAAAAAAAUUUAGUGAAAUUUGAGAAGAGAAGAGUCAAAACUCUACGUCAGGAUGCCUUACCAGAGCGAUGAGGAGACUGGGAAGUAAAAGAAUUCCUAAGCUCUCCGAUAUAUAAUUCCUAAGGACUCAAAACAUUUUUUUCUAGACACAACUCGGCUGCUAAAAACGAUCAAGCAAUGGGGCUCCUAAGGUCGGGGAAGGCUCUGAUUACCAACUUGUAACGCCCUCGAUGCGGCUGUAGCUCCCACGUGUCGAGGCACGACUUAGAGGCAUAACCGCAUUGAAAGCAAUGUCGCAAGUCAGGCAAUCAUUACAACAUCCCAUGUAAUAUAUAAUAAAAGGGGGAGAUAACAUAGUUGGCUUACACUCGCCACGUCACAUCAGAGUACAUAAAUAACAUCCAUCAAACAAAUCACUCAUGGCCCGACUACGGUGCCAAAAUAGAAAAGACCCCCAACAUGCGACAAGGUCCUGAAUCGAUAACCCCAACUAGGCACCACUACUGAUCAUCUGGAAAGGACACGUAGUAUCGCUGAGAGUCCUCGUCGAACUCCCACCUGAGCUCGUAAUCGUCAACUGGAGCAGAAUCACCUGGACCUGCAUCUGGAGUUGUAGUAUCUGUGAGCCAUAGGGACUUAGCAAUCUCACACCCACGCGAUCAAGACUAUUUAAGCUUAUAGGAAUGGACAAGGCAAAUAUAUGUGGAGCUGCAGCAAGCGACUAGCAUAUGUGGUGGCUAACUUAUACGCAAAAGAGAGCGAGAAGAGAAGGCGAAGCACGAGCGAGAAGCUAAAGGAACAUCCUGCGCAAGCAUAACUCCAACACCGUGUCCACUUCCCGGACUCCGCCGAGAAGGGGCCAUCACGGUAACACACACGGUUGUUUUGUUUUAAUUAAGUUUAAUUAAAGUUAUCUACAACCGGACAUUAACAAAUCCCAUCUGCCCAUAACCGCGGGCACGGCUUUCGAAAGAUCUAUCCCUGCAGGGGGGUCCCAACUUAGCCCAUAACAAGCUCUCACGGUCAACGAAGGAAUAGACCUCCACCCAAGACACACCGAUCAGACUCGGUAUCUCGGUACAACAAGAUGAUUCGACAGGUUAAAACAAGUCCAGCAACACCGCCCGAAUGUGCCGACAAAUCCCGAUAGGAGCUGCACAUAUCUCUUUCUCAGGGCACACUCAGAUGAGCAAUCCGUACAACUAAAACCAAACCUUGAGUUUCCCCGAGGUGGCGCUGCACAGGGCUCUAGUUCGGACCAACACUCAGAGGAGCACUGGCCCGUGGGGGGGCUAAAAUAAGAUGACCCUCGGGCUCCGGAAACCCAAGGGAAAAGGGGCUAGGUGGCAAAUGGUAAAACCAAUGUUGGGCAUUGCUGGAAAAGCUUUAAUCAAGGCGAACUAUCAAGGGGUUCCCAUUAUAGCCCAACCGCGUAAGGGACGCACAAUCCGGGAACAUAACACCGGUAUGACGGAAACUAGGGCGGCAAGAGUGGAACAAAACACUAGGCGAGAGGCCGAGCCUUCCACCCUUUACCAAGUAUAUAGAUGCAUUAAGAUAACAUAGCAAUAUAAUGAUAUCCCAACAAGAAUAUAAAUGUUCCAACAAGGAACGGCUCCAAUCUUCACCUGCAACUAACAACGCUAUAAGAAGGGCUGAGCAAAGCGGUAACAUAGCCAAUCAACGGUUUGCUAGGACAAUGGUGGGUUAGAGGUUCAACAUGGCAAUUGGGAGGCUGACAAGAAAAAGGUAGGCAUCGUAGCAGUGGCAAAGCAAAAGAGCGAGCAAACUAGCAUAGCAAAGAUAGUAGUGAUUUCGAGGGUAUGAUCAUCUUGCCUGCACAGUUGUCAGAGUUGACUGGGUCCUCACAAGCAAACUCAACGGGCUCCUCAGUAGCAAACUCGUCUCCCGGCUCUACCCAACAAGACAAACAAGCAACAAGGAUACAAUCAACCACGGGCAAGACCAAGCAAUAUGAUGAAGUGACGAUAUGCUAUGCGGGAUGCGAUGCAAGAUGCAAAAUGCAAGAUAUGACAGGAAAUGCAUGAACCUGGCAUCAACUUGGAAAACUAAGUGUGCCACUGGAUAGAGGGGAUGAAAUCGCUUGAAAACGAUAUAAAGAUCAUUGGAAUCGGAGUUACGGUUUGGAAAUGGCAAGCGUUUUAAGAUAUGACACCGGUAUGCGAUUUACAGCAAGUAGGCAUCUAAAUGCAACGAAAUGAACAUGCUACAGCCACCAAACAUGAAAACAAAAUACAUGGCAGUAAUGUACACAAGAUGGUUGACAAAACACUAGCACUGAGCCAUAGGCAAAUUCAUCCAUUAAGAGGUUCAAACAAGCAUGGCUAAAACGCAAAUGCAAAACAGAUUUCAGACUUGGUGAAAUUAACACUAGUCUGAAAUUUCAGAUCACGAAGCUCUCUUCGGAGCAGCAAAACAACAUGAUAGAAAACCUGAACAUGACAAGUAAGAACAUGGCAUGGAGCUACUCAACAAGCUUAAUAAAACACCCAAAGUGACCUGGGGCCAAAAGGGUUCACAAAAUACUCUACCGAGCUCACGAACAUCGCUCGAACACAAUCAGUUUUCAGACUUAGUGAAAACUGAGACAUGCUGAAAUUUAACUCACGAAGGCAUGUAAACGAGCUCGAUGCACUCCCUACGGUGCAAGUCAUGGCAAGGAAGGCAUAUAACCAGCAAGAAGGCACAAAGUGCUAGCUACACAUGGCAAGAACAAAGGCAUAGCAUGCAUGGAACACUAACGGUAGCAUCGGCGAAAUCGCAAACAAGUUGACGAUCUGCCCAGAUUAACAACGAAGCAAAAGUUGAGCUCGAUUGAGUCAACCUAGAGCACUCCACAUAUGCCAACAAGGACAUGGACGGAUAGAGCAUAACUUAAAUAUUAAAACUCCCUUACUGAUCAUCCUCAAAAGAGGCACGGAUCGCUAGGAAACAAGCUGGACAUAUAGCAUCAUGAACUAAAAUAUCCCAGACUUAGUGAAAAUCACUAAGUCCCUGAAAUCUGCGUUCUCAGGUACCUCUCUUCGCAAGUUUGCACAAGACAACACACACAUCCUAAAAAUGCAUGGGUGGCACCUCUGGAAAGAAGACAAAAUGCUUCACAAAUUAUCCCAAAGGGGCACAGGCAUAUCAUGCACGAAUUAAAUAUAGCAAAAAUGACAAAAGUGCAUGAUGAACUAACGGAUCUGCAGUUUAACUCACGAAGCCUCCUUCUAACAGCAUUUUGGGUAUCAAGAUGACUUCAAAUGCAAAUGAUGCAAUGGAAUGAAAUGAUGUACAUGUCGAGGCGAAGAUUUUGAUAUAUCAUAUGCCCAAAACGGAGCUACGGUUGCGGAGAUACAAGCAGUCAAAGAAUGCAUAAAAAUUAGAGGGAGAGGAAAAAAGUCAACCCUAGAAUUUCGGAUCUGAGAUCCAGAUCGGGGCACUGUUCACCGACGCGGAAACCGAGGUCCGCCGGGCUCUCGCCGGAGCUCACCGGAGGGAGACGCGAGGCGGCGCCGGGGAGGUUGGAGGAGGCCGGGCCGACCGGAGUCGGUCGCCGGAGCAGCGGGCGAGGGCGGCGGCGCUCGGCGGCGCCCUCGGCGGCGCGGGGCGGCGAGGAGGCCGGCGGCCGGAGCGGCGAGCGGUGGCGGGGNNNNNNNNNNNNNNNNNNNNNNNNNNNNNNNNNNNNNNNNNNNNNNNNNNNNNNNNNNNNNNNNNNNNNNNNNNNNNNNNNNNNNNNNNNNNNNNNNNNNNNNNNNNNNNNNNNNNNNNNNNNNNNNNNNNNNNNNNNNNNNNNNNNNNNNNNNNNNNNNNNNNNNNNNNNNNNNNNNNNNNNNNNNNNNNNNNNNNNNNNNNNNNNNNNNNNNNNNNNNNNNNNNNNNNNNNNNNNNNNNNNNNNNNNNNNNNNNNNNNNNNNNNNNNNNNNNNNNNNNNNNNNNNNNNNNNNNNNNNNNNNNNNNNNNNNNNNNNNNNNNNNNNNNNNNNNNNNNNNNNNNNNNNNNNNNNNNNNNNNNNNNNNNNNNNNNNNNNNNNNNNNNNNNNNNNNNNNNNNNNNNNNNNNNNNNNNNNNNNNNNNNNNNNNNNNNNNNNNNNNNNNNNNNNNNNNNNNNNNNNNNNNNNNNNNNNNNNNNNNNNNNNNGGCGGGGCACGGGACGAAGGGCGGCGACGGAUCGGGCCUCGGGGGCCCCUCCUGGGCCUCCCGGGCCGGCGGCGGCGAAGUGGGCGCGCGCCCACGUGGCAGCGCCUGAGUGGCGGAGGCGGGCGGCGGCGGACGCGUCCGGCGCUGGGGCGGACGUGUCCGUCGGCGGCGGAGGAUGUUUUUUUUUAGGGUUUCGGGGAGAGGGAGAGAUCCGAAAACGGAGGGGUGUAUAUAUAGGCAUAGAGGGAGCUAGGAGAGUCCAAAUGAGGUGCGGUUUUCGCCCACACGAUCGUGAUCGAACGCUCUAGGACAUGGAGCAGAGUUUGGUGGGUUUUGGGCCAAAUUUGGGGGGUGUUGGGCUGCAACACACACGAGGCCUUUUCGGUCCCUCGGUUAACCGUUGGAGCAUCAAACGAAGUCCAAAUGAUACGAAACUUGACAGGCGGUCUACCGGUAGUAAACCAAGGCCGCUUGGCAAGUCUCGGUCCAAUCCGGAAAUGUUUAAUCCCCACACAAGAAAGAAAGCUAGAAAUGACCACCGGAGAAGAACGAAGCGCCGGAAUGCAAAACGGACAACGGGGAAAAUGCUCGAAUGCAUGAGAUGAACAUGUAUGCAAAUGCAAUGCACGUGAUGACAUGAUAAGGGAUGCACGAAAAAAGAAAAACAACACACGGAGACAAAGACCCAACCCGAGAAAUAAAUAUAACUUAGCGUCGGGGACGGCAAGAGUUGGAUACAAAUAUGGAAAGUAUAUCUGGGGCGUUACACUCAUAUAACUUUUCAUAUUGGUCCAGCAGUGGUUGUAGUUCAGCAGGGAUUUCUUGGGCAACUGCUACCAUUUUAGGGCCACAAGUAGUGAAUAAGAAAAAUCCACAAACAACUUGCUCUACUAAUUUUUCAGUGUUGUCAGCAGCUUCAGUCAUAGGAGUGAGAGGUACAGUUUCAUCUACAAAUAUAAUAAACUGCCUAGAAGUGGUAGAUAUCUUCAUUUCCAUUUUAACAAAAUCCAUCUGGAUGGGGUUGUAUUUUCUCAACCAAUCCACACCUAAGAUUAUGUCAUAGCCCUUUAACUUCAACACUUUGAAACUGUCAGUAAAGGCAUGGCCUUGUAUUUCAUAUUGAUAAUUUCUUGCUUGAAAUUCACUCUAGAGAAUGCCUCCACUUGCAACAACCACUUUAGUUUUUGGUGUAGGACUAGGAGUAACAGCCAACUUGCUAGCCAUCUUAGGAGAGAUGAAAGUAGUAGUACUACCACUAUCUACAAGUGUUGUAGCCAUAGUACUGCCCAGUUUUACUGUCAAUAUGAAAGUAUUUUUAGUUGCACAAAUUCCCAUUGCAGCAUGCAUUGAUACUUUCAACACCGUUUCAUCAGUUGACUGCUCAGUAAUAUCCACUUGAUUAUCAUCAUAAUAUGCCACAAAAAUAGUUUUAGGAGUGUCAUCCUCUUGAGCUUGCAGGGCUUGGAUUUGUGCUCUUUGGCUCAUCUUACACACCUGCCUAUGACCAUGCACCCAUGGUUCUCUACAUUUAUAACACACUUGAUUCUGCUUAGCUUGCUGGAUGAACACAUUUCUAUUAGGUGUUGCAUUAGGAACCAGUGGUUUGGACUGUUCAAAUAUCAUUUGCCUUCUAGGUUGAGGAACAUACUGCUUAUUUGGUAAAGUUUGAUUGGAUGGCUGAGAUUUUUUCAUUCUUCUAGCAUACCACACAACAGUUUGGAGAUCUUUUGGUUUAAAACACUCCACCAGGCUCUUUAUAUAAGGACUAAGACCUGACACAAACUGGAAACAUACUAGUCAUCAGGUAUAGCAGGAUUUUCUCUCCUCAUAACAUUGAGCAGUUGCUCAAGUUGCUCCACAUAGGCAGUCACAGUCGCUGUUUGAUGUGCAGCAUGAAAGCUACUGAGAAUAUCACAUACCGAUUCCAUAGAAAACCUUUCAGACAGGUAAGAGCAGAAUUUAUGCCAUGGCACAUUAGAAGGUGCAUAUCCAGUACCUCUCCACCACUGAAUUGCAGGACCUUUAAGAUAGGAGAUGGCCAGUUCUGUUCUAUGUUCAAUGGGGGUUCUGGCAGCAGCAAAAUACUAUUCCAAGAUCUGAAUCCAAGACUCAGGAUCAUGUCCUUCAAAUUCAGAAAUGUUCAAUUUAGCUGGCUUAACAGUCAGAGCAUUUCUUCUUCUGUAGUAAUUAUCAGCCCCUUCUUCUUUAUGUAUUUCGUCUAACUGCACAACAUUUCUCUAUACUGCUUGUACACUUUCCUUUUCUUUGCUUUGCCCAUAGUUUGGAUGUUUGUAAGGUACUUUAGGAGUACCAUCCAUAUUCAGUUCUUUGCCUGUAUGGUCUCUAAGAGUGGCAUUACCAACCGGCAAAGGAUCCCCCUUGUCAGGCAUUGCAACUGAGGAAGGAGUAGGAACCAAGAGCUGCUUUGGUCUACCAGGAGCCACUAUUGGAGAUUGCAGCUGGUUCUCUUUCGGUUGCACACUCCCCUGUCCUUCUUCUGCUUCAUCUACCUGCUCUGGCUCAGGGUCCAGCAGUAAGCGUCUGAAAUUUGCCUGUAUCUUGUCAAAAUUCUUUUGCAUAGUGGCGAAAUUUCUGUUGACAACUGCCUGGAAUUGUUGGAACUCUUGACGAUCCUCCUCUCUAUCUUGCUGCAGGGUCUUGAUGUCCAGCUCCAAGGACUCCAACUGCAGGGCAGCAGUAGUCCCUGAAUCCACAACCUCCGGCAUGCUGCUGGGGUUGUCAAUCUGCACCAUAUAGGGUUGGGAGGGAGGGAUUAAGACGCCGACGUCGCCUUACACCGCUUCCAGCGCCCGCCGCCACACGAACACAUUCAGAUCGUCGGAUCUGGAAUUUUACCACUUAAGAAUUGUUCUUAAGCAACCAGACGGACUGCCUGACUGUCGUCGAACAGUUGCCACUCCGACCGCCGCCUGUUGUCACCGCCACACCAAAUCGCGCAGAGGGAUUUUACGGACGAAACCAACCUUGCGCUGCUCCAAUCGUCGCCCUAGCCAAGGAAAGACUGGCUCUCGAUACCAAUUGUCAGGACCAGAGUCCCAAUCAACGGGUUUUAAGUAAGAACAGAGUCGAAUUCAGACGAAUUUUGAAGGAAGUGAACUAGGGUUUCUCUUGCAUGAAAAGGGAAAGGUAGUUUAGCACGCCACCGGCGGCUAGGGUUUACACCCAAUAAUCUUUUACAUGCCCAAAAUGAGAGAGAGAGAUGGCUUAUAUAGCCAUUACAGCAGUUAGAAAGUGAAAAGAAGAAAAGCAGAGCACACGGUCUUGUCGGACGAUGAAUAGCUCCUCGGGCGCCACCAGAGCUGUUGGAUGAUCCAUCAAGGGACGAGAGCAGCCGAUCAUCAGUGAACCGUUAUCUUGUACUAAUGGCCACACGAUUCAAGAUGGACGGUUGUAGGAUCAUCAGGCACGUAGGAACAGGGGAGGUUCAGACUUGGGCUUGACAGAGUGACCGCAGCAGCAGGGGGACUGAUAUUCGUGUAUUCCUGCAGUUCCCUGACGAAGGUUGCAGCCACAGAAGAAUCCUGUCCAGGCUUCUACACCGGCAUCAGCAGAAGCAGAGGCGCUUCUGCUGGCUGCAAAUCUUGCUCAGCGGUUUGACUUUGGCCAAAGCAGCAGCUCAAAGAAACAUAUCUUCGGACAAGAUUAGCUGGGUGCCUCUCAAGGUCUACGUGCCCAAGUACAGUAUUUCAUAUCUUCAGCUGUGUCAAAUCAGCUCGCAGGAGUAAUGCUUUGACAUGGGGCACUACCUCGCCUCUCGCUCCUCUAUGUACACUUGGGCUUUGCCUUCUUUGAGCAAUGCAUUCAAAAAAAAACAUGGCGCUUUUUCCCGUUCGAAAUAUACAAAACAUGGACUUAGAUAAGUGGCGAAUCAAACUUGCAAGCACAUAAGUAACUCAGCCAGGCAAUAAGCAUCUAUCUGACCUCUUUAAUUCUCUGUACAAUGCUGGCUUUCGAAACUGAACUUCAUGCUAUACAUUCAGCAAUUGACUAACGGUUAACAACAUAUAACAUAUCUGAAUUUUUUGGACUUCCUCCCAGUUUAUUUUCUCUCUCUCUUUUUGAACUCAUAGACUUCUUUCCACUUGUCAUCGUCGGUAACUAUUUUUUUGUUUAUCCCCCGCAAAAAAAACUAUUUAUUUAUUUAUGUGUUUGAACUUGCAUGAAAUUAUAUGAUCAUGGAUUUCUUCAAUAGACAUCAUCAGUGUCAGCUUCAUAUGACGUACUAGUAGCAUCUUCUGACCUCUUCUAGUUAUAAACAUAUAUAAUGAUGACACUGAAGAAAAUUACAUCUACAAGAAGCUGAAACUUGUGGGAAACAUCUUAAAUCGUCUACACACACAAAUCAUAGACAGCAAAAGAUGCACGAAUCAAACGAUGCAAGUCAUCAGUCCAACUUUAUUGCUCAACUAGCAUCUAUAUUACUCUUCCCACGCACAAGGAAAGCUUAUCUAACAAUUUGAUGGUGCAGCAGCAACUGAAGUUUAGAAGACACGCACAUCUUCAUCAACAAAUAAACAAUUUAACGCAUGUAAUAUGUGAAAUUGCUUGUCAGGUACUCCCUCCGUCCGGAAAUACUUGUCCUCGAAAUGGUUGUAUCUAGACUUAUUUUAAUUAUAGAUACAUCCAUUUUAUCCAUUUUGAGGACAAGUAUUUCCGGACGGCGGGAGUACAAGAGAUAAGUGCUACUAUUACUAUAUAGGCGUGGGUAUAUCUAUCUAUGUCUACAAUCAACAUUAGAUUGAGAAAACAAGCUAGGUGGCAUCAGCUGCAACCCAUGAUGACCAGGCGUAGAGCACACGCCCCUUCCACCUGUGUAGCAACCACCGCUGAUCCGCAUCAACAACAAAGUUCCUGUGGUAGUUGUCCUUGACCUUAUCCAGGACAAGCUUCACAACCUCUGGAUUCAACGGCAGCUGCCUCAGCCCAGCCCGGUGGUUCCGGAGCUGCCACUGCUUGUACGUCUCAGGGCGCUCCACCCGGUCCGCGCCUUCACAUGCGAGCACAUUUAGGCAAGACCGCCCAAAGAUGUCGCGCUCGAGCAGCAGACGCCCUUCGUUGUCCCGGGGGACGGUUGUGUCCAGCAGGUCGAACUGGGCCGAGUAAUGGAACAGUGCCUCCCGGAACCGUGUCAGGAAGGAUGUAGCGCCGUAUGAGCCAUUCAUAAUGCCAUGGAUGAACACAUCAGGACGCAUCUUCUUGAUGUUGUUGAGGACCUGAUCCCUAGGGCUUGGACCAUCAAAGCCGAGGCUUUCGUCCAUCAGGUGCCUGAAUUGGCAAAGACUGAUCACCACAAGCACCUCGUCCCGGUCGAUGUUCAGGUCCUCCGGUCGGACAGUCUCCCGCUUUGCUGGGAUACCACGGAACUUGAACGGCACGCCGAACACGCGGGCAAAGUUUCUGAGCCUACGCCCUGUCUCCUCAAUGUGGUAGGCUCCGUGGAACCCAGGUUGAGGGAGGUCAAUGCCGGUGAUCCUCACCUCCGGUGGCCCACCUUCUCUAGCUGCGAGCAUGCGCAGCAAACCUGGCCACUGGAGACCUUGAUUAAGACCAUAGUCCACAAUGUGCAACCGUCUCUUACCUGCCACAGCGUUGCAGAUGGUCUUGUCGGCGAAGAUGUAGGCCACCUUCUUGCAGCAGCAAGCCGCCAUGUAAAGCUGGUUGGCCUUGAGGAAGUCGGCUACCGAGAUGCGACUUAGUAGGAGUGACUGGUACAGCUCGCUGCCCCUACCCGCCAGCCGUGCCUCCAGCCCAUUGGCAAAAUAAUGCGCCAGCCUUUGGCCUGCGUCCCCCUUGGGGGACGAAUGCUGCCUGAUUCGCUUCAGCAGCUCAACGGCGCUGUGGCGGUUGUCCGUGGACAGAGCCUGAGCGCAGUUGAGCAGCAGCGUGUGCAGGUCCACCAUCUCACUAUCGUCCACGGUGGUCUUUCUCGACCGGCCCUUCUUCCGGCUGCUCUUCUCUGGCUCACCGUUCAGGUUCUGAAGAGUCCCCUUCAUGCAUAUCUCGUGUUCCUGGAACAUCAUUUCGUCAAACAUGUUGCGUUCCUCCUGCUCCGGCAUCAUCAAUUUGCUGGGCCUGCCCACAUCCGGCUCCAGUGCCGGUGCGGCCCUCUUUUUCUUGAGGCUGGCAGCAUUCCCGCCUCCCACCACUGUCCCCUCCUUGAUGGGCGGGAGGCUGAUGUCGGGCGGCAAGAACUUCCUAGCCUCCUCCAUGCCUUUGAGGAAGGCCAGGUUGAGCAUGUCCUGGUCGCCGGGCAACAAGUGAUUGAACAAGUCAGAGCUCGGCUGUUUGGCCAUCUCGUCGCCGUUGAGGAGCCCCGAGCUUUGAUUGUCCGGGGAGGCGGAGGCAUGGCCGUUGACAUCGGUGUAGGACGGGCGUGAGAUCUGGACUGGUGCGUCGUCGGGCGAUGCCGAUGCCGAUGCCGAAGCAGUUGCGGUGCUGGGGGUGGUGGAGGCAGUUGCGUCGGAAGAGGAGGAGGGCGAGGGCGUGGAGGUGGAGGCGCUGGCGCUGUCGGCGACGUCGACGAGGAUCUGCGCGAAGGGCUGCUGCGCGCGCAGGACGGCGGGGUGGUUGGGGUAGAGGUAGAAGAGGUGGUCCUCCGUGCCCUCCUCCAUGAGCAGGCGCGAGAUGUAGGGGAGCACCAUGUCGUCGAAGGAGGAGUGGCCGUCGUCGUCGUGGCCGCCGCGGGGCGUCGGCGGCAGGUCGAGGAAGAGGGACGGGGAGGGCGGCUCGAGGCGCGCAAGGAAGCCCUGCUGCCCCAGGAACUCCUCCGGCGUGGCGGCCAUUGCGCUUCUGGUUGGUGCUUGACACUGGAGUAGCUAUCUAGGCUGCGUUGCACAUGGAAGGGCAUCACCCCGCUGCUUUUCUCCUGUUUAAAAGGAAAGGAUGGAAUGGGAGCAUGGGCAGGGAGGAGGGAAGGUUCCAGGAAGGAGCCGAUGAGGUGAGAAAUGGAGGAGGAGGACAUCAAAAUGAAUGAAGCUGGCCCGUGCAGUGCAGUGCAGGUACACCAACCCAACCCUAGCAAGCAAGCAAAGCAGAGUACGUAUGUGAUGGGCAUUGACCGUCCCCGCGUUCCCCGGGAUCAUAUCUAGUAUCUAUCUUUGCAUCCAGACUAUAUCUAGUAUCUAUCUUUGCAUCCAGACUCAAAUGCAUACUCUGAAGAAACACAAUUCUGUUGGGAGGUAGCACUACAAGUUUGACUCGGUUGCAUAUGCUUCCGACCAUGAGGCCAACUCCAAUUUGCAUUUGCGUUGGCCGGGCGCCCAAUGCGUGGCCGCAUCUUCGGCUCAUCUCGUCGGCCGGAGGCCAAGUACAACGAAACGAAGCAUAGCAAAAAUAGUUUAAAUCAAACAUAUGUUUAAAAUAGUAUUUUAUUACAAUCCAGUUAAAGUUUUAGAAAUAUCAAAUAGUCUUACAAAACUACUUAAAGUUUGUGCACACGGAAAGAUUAAACCAAUAGACCUAUUGAUUGCCAAUGUGAUCCCACAUGAGCUCAACCAAGUCAUCUUGCAGCUAUGUAUGAGUGUUUCGAGCACGCAACUCACGAUGAAAUUGGACAAAUUGUUCAAAGGUUGCAGAAGGUGGGUGCCCCGACUCAACAUUCUCACCCUGAAAAUCAAACCCUUGGUCAUACAUACUGCUAUCUCAUCCUUAACAAUCAUAUUGUGCAUGAUCACACAAGCAGUCAUCACCUCCCAAAGCUUCUGAGUGCUCCAUGUCAAUGCAGGGUUUCAAACAAUACCCCAUCGAGACUAAAGCACGCCAAAUGCACGCUCCACAUCUUUCCUAGCACUCUCCUGCUCCUUGCGGAUUGGGUAUGGUCUUCACAAGAGUGGACCAUUGGGGAUAUACCUCAGCUAGAUAAUAUCCCUUGUUGUAAUGGUGACCAUUGAUCUCAAAGUUGACCUCUAGGCAAUGGCCUUCUGCAAGCCUUGCAAACACUGGAGAAUGCUGAAGAACACUAAUAUUAUUGUGAGAACCAGCCAUGCCGAAGAAAGAAUGUCAUAUCCAUAGAUCUUGUGAAGCCACAGCUUCAAGUAUGACAGUGACACCUUUCACAUGUCCCUUGUACUGCCCCUGCCAAGCAAAUGGAUAGUUCUUCCACUUCCAGUGCAUACAAUCGAUACUACCAAGCAUGCCCGGAAAUCCUCUCUCGGCAUUAAUCAUCAACAACCACUCUGUAUCAACAGCAUUUGGUUCCCUCAGGUAUUCAGGACCGAACACUACCACCACGGCCUUGCAGAAACUAUACAUUGAGAGGAGGCAUGUGGACUUACUCAUACGCACAUACUCAUCCACAAGAUCAUCGCGAAUUCCAUAUGCAAGCAUGCGAAUAGCCGCAGUGCAUUUCUGAUAAGAAGAAAAACCAAGCUUGCCAAGGGCGUCCUCUUUGCAUUCAAAGUAUGGGUUAUAUGCGACCACUCCUUCCCGAAUACGAUUGAACACAUGCCUCCUCAUUCAGAAGCAGCGAUGUAAGGGCAUAUUUAUCCCCAAGAUGUUUUGGUGAUUGAUGACAAUGCUUUUGCGGACUAAUCGUGUGCGUUGAGUUCUUUCAGAGAUUCAUCCUUUGGCACGAGACGAUUUCUUCCCCUCGGUGUUUUAUUCAAGACGGUGUAGCUCCUUCGUUUCUCUGCUGGUAGUCUAGUUUCGUAGGAGUCACCGUACUAUCAAGAGGGGAUCCGCUUUGGUAAGGCUAGGGUGGAAUCAACACGUACACAUCCUUAUCACACCCGAUGCUUCUCUCCGCUUCAUUGGAGCUAUCUUUCCUAAAUCUGUGCCUGCCUGUCCUGUCCCAGCGGUAGUACCACGGCCCUCACCGGUAGUACCGCCGAAGCUCGUCAAGCGGUAGUACCGCUCCCCGAGCUGUAGUACCGCUUGCGAACUUCGGCCGUAGUACCGCAGUGGUUCCGGGCUACUACCGCCUAGAUUCUCGACCGCUGUUUUUCGUGUUGGGUUUUACGGUACUAGUAGCGGCAGUAGCAACGGUAGUACCGCUCCAAGCAGUAGUACCGCUUAUACUUCCGCGGUAGUACCGCUCGGGGGACAGGACUCUACAUCCCUUGUCAGCGCGGCAGUACCGCUGGGAGGGAGCGGUAGUACCGCCUAUCAACGGUAGCACCGCCCUGCCCAAGCGGUAGUACCGCUCUGUGCGUGGCUGUUUGGUGGGUAACGGUUGGAUUGUUUCCCCAACUAUAUAAAGGUGUCUUCUUCCCCAAAGUUGACUUAUCUCUUCCCCCCAAAGCUCCAUUGUUGCUCCAAGCUCCAUUUUCGCCCGAUCUCUCUCCCUAGCCAAUCAAACUUGUUGAUUUGCUCGGGAUUGGUUGAGAAGGCCCCGAUCUACACUUCCACCAAGAGAAAUUUGAUUUCCCCCACUUAUCCCUAGCGGAUCUUGUUACUCUUGGGUGUUGAGCACCCUAGACGGUUGAGGUCACCUCGAAGUCAUACUCCAUUGUGGUGAAGCUUUGUGGUGUUGUUGGGAGCCUCCAAGUGUUGUGGAGAUAGCCCCAAUCUUGUUUGUAAAGGUUCGGUCGCCGCCUUCAAGGGCACCAAUAGUGGAAUCACGGUAUCUCGCAUUAUGUGAGGGCGUGAGGAGAUUACGGUGGCCCUAGUGGCUUCUUGGGGAGCAUUGUGCCUCCACACCGCUCUAACGGAGACGUACUUCCCAUUAAAAGGAAGGAACUUCGGUAACACAUCCUCGUCUUCAUCGGCUCCACUCUUGGUUAUUCCGUGCCUUUACUUUUGCAAGCUUACUUGUGUUGUAUCUAUUGCUUGCGUGUGUGCUAGUUGUCUUUGCAUCAUAUAGGUUGUACACUUAGUUGCAUAUCUAGACAACCUACUUUGUUGCAAGGUUUAAUUUGUUAAAGAAAAGCUUAAAAAUUGUUAGUUGCCUAUUCAACCCCCCCCCCCCCUCUAGUCAACCGUAUCGAUCCUUUCAAUUGGUAUCAGAGCCUUGUCUCUUUAUUAAGGACUUUGCCGUCCGAAGAGUAUGGUUGACACCCACGACGGUGCGAAGGAGCACUCCGGUGUGAAUCCUAUCUCAUCUACGGCCGAUGGGGGAACCUCGGUCUCACGUGAGGAAUUCAAUGUGGCUUUCGACACAUUGAAAACCUCCAUGACGGCCGAGGUUAAAAGAAUGUUUUCUGAAUUCCUAGAAGGACUUAAACUAUCCACCUCGCCGAUGAAAGUGGGUGAUCCCACUAACAAGGUGACGGAUGCCACCUCCGACAAGGAGGAAGCUAAUAGUGAAAAAGGUCCUUCUACUAGUGGUAGAAAUGGCUCCGGCAUCUUUGCCCAUGUGGAACCUCCUACUUAUGGUGGACCGAUUCCCACUACUCAUUUAAAUCAUGCCGGUCCUCCUCCUAAGAUUGUGAAAAAUGAGGUUUUUGAUGCUUGGAUUUAUCGUUUCAAGCGUCAUUUAAAACAUGUGAAUACUAAUCUUUGGAGAAUUAUAGAAGAAGGUUUCUAUCCACAUGACCCAAGCAACUUCACCCCUCGAGAAGCCGUGGACAAUCAAUUCAAUGAGAGUGCUCUCUUCAUCAUCCAAGAUGCAAUCCUUCCCGAAGAUCUCCCUCAUCUUCGUCCUCAUGCCAUGGCUAAAGAUGCAUGGAAAUGUGUUGUGUCUCUCUAUCGAGGAAGUGCUAGCAUUCAACGCUCCAACUAUGAAGUGGUGCAAGAUGAAGCCGAUGAGUUUGCAAUGAAAGAAGAUGAAGAACCUCGUGAGCUCUUUCGAAGAGUGACCAAACUCGCGGUCGCACUCCGAGAUCAUGGGAGCAAGGACACGGAUGACAAUUGGAUCAAGCGCAAGUUCCUCAAGGCCAUGAUGCCCUACAACAAGGCCAUGUCCUCCUCAUUUUUCAAAGACCGGACUUCCACUCCAUGACCUCAAGUGAAGUGUUGGAUGAGUUCUUUGCAAUGAGCAUCUUGGACAAGACCGCCGAUAAUGUGGUGCUCCGUUCUCAAAGGUCAAAGAAGCCCAACCUUGCCUUGAAGGCCAAGGUUAGUGUGGAAGAAGAAGAAGAAGAGGAAGAUGAGGAGAGCAACCCCGAAGACACGAAGUAUGAUUAUCAUGAGCACAUGGCUCUUUCCUCAAGACAAUUUUGGAGUAAGAAGAAUACAAGACCCAACUUCAACAAGAACAACUCAAGUGGCCUCAAGGGCAAGCAACGAGUUAGAACUUGUUUCAACUGUGGCAAUGUGAGCCAUUUCAUUGUGGAUUGUCCUUACGAGAAGCGGGAAGACAAUGGUGGCAAGUUCAUCCGAAAAGACAAAGCCAAGUCCUUCCCAAACAAGAACAACUUCACCAAGAAAACUCCUACACGCGGGUUGGUAGUUCAAGAAGAAUACCGUGAGGAUGACGAUGAUGAUGAAGAUAGUGAAGCAACGGCUAUGGCAUCCGUUGCCAUUGCCACAACUCCCCGGGUGUCUCUCUUCGAUUCACCCAACGAGAACAUCACCGCCAAGUGCCUCAUGGCUAAAGCCACCAACAAGGUAACCCCCAACAUCAAAACCACCAUUAUUCCUAAUCCUCCUUCAACGGAUGACUUUGAUGAUGGUAAGGGGUCCAAUGAGGAGGUAAAUGAAUUUGAGUCCUUCAUGAGUAAGCUCAAGGGCAAAUCCAAGAAGCACUUCGUUGCUCUCUUGGAACAACUUGGUGAAGCCAAUGACAUGAUCGAGGCUCACGAAGAAACCAUCUCUAAGAUGGAAGGUCAUAGUCGUGACUAUGCCGAUGAGAUAUCGGAUCUCUCUAAUGCUCUUGAGGAAGAGCGCGGGCAUCGUUUGGCUCUUGAGGAGUCACACAAUGAUGACCAUGCCAAAUUAAAGAAAGAUCUUGAUCAUGCUCUUGUUGUGUCUCGUGUUCUAACUUCCGAGAAGGCUAAACUUGGGGUUGAUCAUACUAGACUCAAGGAGGAGUUUGAUGUACUUGACAAGGCCCAUAAGGUCUUGAAAGGUGCUCAUGCAAACCUCAAGGAGUCUCAUGCUCAACUCCAAGUUAAGCUAACUAAGGAAAAGGCCACAUUUCCUCACAUGGUCUUAAUUGAUAAUGCAAAUGCUACUAACCCAUGUUGUGAGCAUGUGCAUCUUGUGGAGGAGAAUGCCAAGUUGAAGGAACAACUCGAGAAAGGUCUUGUGUUAUGCAUACAAGGCGAGAAAAACCUAAAUGAACUUUUGAGCAAUCAAAAGGAAGUUGUGGGCAAGGAGGGAGUUGGGUUCUCACCCAAGUCCAAGAACAAAAAGAAGAACAAGGAAAAGAAUAACAAGGCCAAACGACCUCCCCCGCUCAAGCAAACCUUUGUGAAGGAGGGAGAGGGUGCUCCUAAGGAGAAGAAGAACAAUGCGAAGAGUGGUGAUGCCAAAGAGCGCAAAGCCAACUCUCCCAACAAAGCCGGUGACUUUAAUCCCUCUUAUGUGUUGUGCCGUGCUAGUGAUGGGCAUGUUUAUGCUAAAUUUGUUGUUUCUUCUUAUGAGUACAUUGAAUGGUCUAUUUGGGUUCCUAAGACCCUUGUUACUAACAUCAAAGGACCCAUUACUCAAUGGGUACCUAAAACCAAGCAUUGAUCUCUUGUAGGUGUUUGCUUCCGGUGGGGGAUCAUGGUUGCUCGACAGUGGAGCAACAAAUCAUAUGGACCGGGAGCAAGGACUUGGUGGUGGACGUGCAAAAGAUCCCAUCUAUGCCCACCAAUGUCGAGUGGGGUGAUGCCUCACAUUCUAAGGUAUUGGGUCUUGGCAAGGUUGUCAUUUCUCAUGAUCUAACGAUCGAGAAAGUCAUGCUUGUUGAGUCCCUUGUGUUCAAUUUACUUUCCAUUCAUCAACUCGCACUCAUGGGCUUUGCCACCUUCUUUGAUAUUGAUACCGUGGCCCUCUUAUGGAGCAAGACUCUUAAAGUAGCCUUUGUUGGGCAUGUUGAGAACGAUCUCUAUGUGAUUAACUUUUCGGAGCAACCCACUAAGACCGCGACAUGCCUAAUGGCUAAAGUUGAUGUGGGAUGGCUUUGGCAUCGCCGUUUAGCCCACGUCAAUAUGAGAUCUUUGCAAAGUCUUCUCAAGGGGGACCAUGUCCGUGGACUAACAAAUGUUAGUUUUGCCAAAGAUCGUGCUUGCAGUGCUUGUAUCGAAGGAAAGCUUCAUGAGACGGCUCACCCUCCCACGACUAUCAUCUACUCGAAGAGACCCUUGGAGCUCCUGCACAUGGACCUCUUUGGGCCUCCAUCCUUUGAUAGUCUUGGGGGUAGAAAGUAUUGCUUGGUGAUUGUGGAUGAUUAUUCAAGAUACACUUGGGUAUACUUCUUCAAGAGGAAGAGUGAGACUCAACAAACCGUCAUCGACUUUGCAAAUGAAGCUCAACGUCAACACAAUGCAAAGAUCUUGACAAUAAGAAGUGACAACGGCACCGAGUUCAAGAACUACACCUUGGAUGAGUUUCUUAGUGAUGAGGGGAUCAAGCAUCAAUAUUCUGCACCAUAUACCCCUCAACAAAAUGGUGUUGCGGAGAGGAAGAACCGGACGUUGAUGGAUGCGGCAAGGACCAUGAUGGCGGAGUUCAAGUCUCCGUACAACUUUUGGGCCGAAGCCAUCAACACUACAUGGCAUGCAUCCAAUCGGCUCUAUCUCCGCAAAGGCUUGAACAAGACUCCUUAUGAGAUACUCACCGGGAACAAGCCCAAUCUCAAGUACUUCCGGGUGUUCGGGUGUAAGUGUUUCAUUCUCAAGAAAGGUGUUCGUUUGUCUAAAUUCGAGGCUAGAGCUUAUGAGGGCAUAUUUGUUGGUUAUGCUACAAACUCUCAUGCUUACCGUGUUCUCAACAAGUCCACCGGACUCAUUGAGGAGACGUGUAACGUGGAGUUUGACGAAAAUAACGGCUCCUAAGUGGAGCAAAGUGGUACUUGUGAUGUAGGUGAUGAAAUUCCUCUCCAAGCCAUAAGAAGAAUGGGUAUUGGUCAUAUACUACCCAUUGAGGAACCCCUUGUGGCCGAAGGAGAAGGACAAUGCUCCACUCAAGUGGAGCCUUCGUCUACUCAAGACCCACACGCUUCCGAAGAACAAAGUGUAGGCCCUCAACCUCGGGAACAAGACCAAGGGCAAGAUCAAUCUCAAGAUGAUGAUGAACCUCCAAUUGAUGCCCAAGGUGAAGUUCUCCCCCUCGAGCAAGUUCAAGAUCAUGAGCAAGCUCAAGAUCAAGAACAAGCUCAAGACGGCGCUCAAGAUGAUCAAGUUAACCCUCCUCCUUCCACUUCUGAGGAGGAAUUAGAGCGUCGUGCCGCGAAGAUUGCUUCCAAACUCACCACCAAAGGCCAUCUCAUGGAAAAUGUGGUUGGAAGUCUAAGAAAGGGGGUAAGCACUCAUAUACAAUUAGCAAACUAUUAUGAACAUCACGCGUUUGUCUCUUGUGUUGAACCCCAAAAGGUUUAUGAGGCGCUCGAAGACUCGGAUUGGCUCAAUGCCAUGCAUGAAGAACUCAACAACUUCGAGUACAACAAGGUGUGGAGAUUGGUGCCAAGGCCAUCAGGGAACCACAACAUCAUUGGAACCAAGUGGAUCUUCAAGAACAAGCAAGAUGCUCAUGGGAACAUCAUUUGCAACAAGGCAAGAUUGGUAACACAAGGCUACUCCCAAGUCGAGGGUAUCGACUAUGGUAAAACCUUUGCUCCCGUUGCUCGUCUUGAAUCCAUACGUUUGUUGAUUGCUUAUGCUUCCCAUCACAACUUUAAGUUGCAACAAAUGGAUGUGAAAAGUGCUUUUCUUAAUGGUCCCAUUAAUGAGUUGGUUUAUGUCAAGCAACCCCCCGGGUUCGAGGAUCCUUACUUCCCGGAUCAUGUGUAUCAACUCGAUAAGGCACUCUAUGGCCUUAAACAAGCCCCACGUGCGUGGUAUGACCACCUUACCGAGUUGUUACAAGAUCGUGGAUUUGAAGUUGGGCAAAUCGAUCCCACUCUUUUUACUAAGAAGGUCAAAGGGGAGUUGUUUGUGAAGGCCCCGAUCUACACUUCCACCAAGAGAAAUUUGAUUUCCCCCACUUAUCCCUAGCGGAUCCUGUUACUCUUGGGUGUUGAGCACCCUAGACGGUUGAGGUCACCUCGAAGCCAUACUCCAUUGUGGUGAAGCUUCAUGGUGUUGUUGGGAGCCUCCAAGUGUUGUGGAGAUAGCCCCAAUCUUGUUUGUAAAGGCUCGGUCGCCGCCUUCAAGGGCACCAAUAGUGGAAUCACGGUAUCUCGCAUUGUGUGAGGGCGUGAGGAGAUUACGGUGGCCCUAGUGGCUUCUUGGAGAGCAUUGUGCCUCCACACCGCUCUAACGGAGACGUACUUCCCAUUAAAAGGAAGGAACUUCGGUAACACAUCAUCGUCUUCACCGGCUCCACUCUUGGUUAUUUCGUGCCUUUACUUUUGCAAGCUUACUUGUGUUGUAUCUAUUGCUUGCUUGUGUGCUAGUUGUCUUUGCAUCAUAUAGGUUGUACACUUAGUUGCAUAUCUAGACAACCUACUUUGUUGCAAGGUUUAAUUUGUUAAAGAAAAGCUUAAAAUUUGUUAGUUGCUUAUUCACCCCCCCCCCCCUCUAGUCAAUCGUAUCGAUCCUUUCAAGCGACAAAAUUGAUGCGGUUUGUAGAGUGUGGUGCUCUCAAAGUAAUCGGAAUAGAGGAGGUGGUGUCAUUUCUCCCUAUUGCGGUUCAAGGCCGGGGCAUGCCCGGGGAUUGAUCCCCUAAACCGAGGCCGCAUCCUACUGAUGUGGUCGUGGACGACCAAUGCUGCCACCAUUAUGUCCUCGUCGUCCAAGGAUGAAUCAUCCGAUUAACAAAUGAAGUUGUGAAAGAAGUAUUCAUCUCUGCUAUCCAUGAUACCUUGCAAGCAAAGCGUCGAACAGCUUGGGGGCGUGGUGGAGACGCGGUCGGAAAGGGCAUGUCAAGGCCGUUGGUUUGCAACAAGGUGGACGACAGCGAGCGGAGGGCGGAGCGCCGACUGGGAAGGAAGAAAAGGGGCUGCUCCACCGACAGGCAAAGCAAGGUGGUGACGGGCGUGGCGGCGGCGAUGGCGAGGGGCCGAGGGCGGAGCGACGAAAGGGGAGGAAGAAAUGGGCUAUGUCUCCGACGGGCGGGCCAGGGAAGGACAAGGGCGCCCGUCCGCCCGCUGUCCGUUUGACCGCAAACGCGGCCCAAAUUUGGAUCGGGAAUGGGUCGAAAGCGGACCGAAAACGGACAUUUGUCAGUUUGCUCUCGCGCGUUGGGCUGUGGUUUGUGUCCGUUUAGCCCCAAACGGACGUGGGCGGACGAUUUGGGAUCGUGAGUUGGAGUUGGCACGAUGACUUGGGGUGGGCCUGCUGUACAUACAUGUAAACAUGAUGCUUCAAAAGUCAUAGCCAGAGAUGGAGAUAGACUAAACUGCUCUACCUACUUAGAAAACAUCGGACAGUUAGCUUUGUAACAAAGUUAGUUAUCGAUGCUUAGUGCGGCGUGUUUCCCUCUCUACGCGCAUGGGCUUAAAAUAUCAGAAAUGAGCAUCUAUCUAACCUCUGACUACAAGUUUAACUUUAAUUACUCACUACACUGCUAGCUAACCUCUGAUGCCUUCACAAAUUGACCAACGAUUAACCAAUAUAUAUCAGAUUUCAAUAUUUGGACCUGUUCUCAGUUCGUCAAUAACUGUUUAUGUAUCACUGCCAACUUGGAUAAAAGAUUAUAUGGUCACGGAUUUCUUCAGAAGACACCAUCUGUGUCAGCUUCAUAUGAUGUAGGAGCAUCCUCUGACCUCUUUUAGCUGUAAACUAACCAAUAGCUAGAAGAAAGUUAUUUCACAGAAACUGAAACAUGAGAGGAGCCUACUGUCAGUUUUAAAGCAGAAGCCAUGGAAAUCAUAAUUUUCGCUUUUCUCUUUUUGAGGGAAUAAACAUAAUUUUAGCUAUAUGUCUAUUUGGAAUACAGGAAUGACUUCAGGUUCGAAGGCCUCCAACCAAAUCUCUACUCCCUCCGUUUCUAAAUAUAAGUCUUUGUACAGAUUCCACUAUGAACCACAUGCGGAUGUAUAUAGAUGCAUUUUAGAGUGUAGAUUCAUUAAUUUUGCUUCGCAUAUAGUCUAUAGUGGAAUCUCUACAAAGACUUCUAUUACGAACAGAGGGAGUACAAGGAGGUUCAAAGUGGAAAUGGAGUGGCUUGCUUAUUCACAGAUAUAAGUGGAGCCAUUUGAUUAUUAGAUGCCUAGAUAUCACCGAAGAGAACCCCCGUACCCCCGCGUCGCCCCGCUAGGGCGACACGGGGGCGAUCUCGCGCCGCCGCCCCUCGUCGUCACCACGUUCCUCCUGUCCUCGCCGCUGCCAGAGGCUAGCGUCGGGCAGGCCCUGGGCGCAGCCAAGGAGGGUGGCGGCGGGGAGCUUCUCGCGCUCGGGCAGGCACAUGGAUCGGAUCCGCCAGAUCCGUCCGGCCCGGGCCUCGGGUUUGAGGCGGCGGCCUCUGCUGGUGAGGGCGGCGUCGUCCGAGAGGCGGGCGGCGCUCGCCGGAGUUGUGGACCGCGUCUUCUCGGCCGCGCGGGCAGCGAGUUGGCGGUGGAUGUGGGCGCCACCUGGAGGGAUCCCCUGCUGCUCUCCUUCGCCAGAUUUGAAGACGACGCCCCCGUGCUGCUGCUUCCUCCUCGUCAAUCCGGCCAGAUCCGGUGGCGGACUGCGCGGAUGUGGGGUUUGGGAUCUCUGGAUCGGAGUAAUUUCUUGGCCGGCUGCGGCGGCCACGACGCCGGCGGCGCCCCAGGCGUUGUUUCCUUCUUGAAGGCGGCUUCGAGAUCCAGCUCCCCCCCCUCGUCCUCCCCCUGCACCCGGGUGAAAACCCACAACUUUGGUUGGGCGGCGGCGGUGCCCGGCUCCGUCACCUUCUUGAAGGCGACGCUUUGGGUCCGCGGGGAGGUGGGACAGCUGCAGCGCGUUCUUGACGUUCCUGAUGGCGGCGGUUCUCUUUAGUGGUGUCGUUUCGCCAUGGCGGUCGGCUGGUCCGGCUCUCGUGGUGAUUGUGGUGCCCAACUCUUCGCCGUGUCUUCCUGGGGUGCUCCCGUCCCGUUCAGAUAGGCUGGAGGUGGAGCGGCUUCAUCUUGCACGGAGCUUCGGUGGAGAUGUCAAGUCAUGCCUGACCGACAGGUGCUACGCUUUAUCAUGCCUGGUCGGCAGGUGCUACGCACGACAGAUCUUCCAAAGACUUCAAGCUGUGUCGGCUGGUGGUACUUGGCAGCAUGGUGCUGAGGUGUAUCAGUGGCGAUCGCGACGUCCUCAGAUGUUUGCGCGCAGGGAGGAGGUGCCGUUGGGCGCCGUGGUGGCGUCGACGAUAGCUGGACCAAGCAAGGUUGAUGCAGUAGUACAAUUCUGAAGAUGGAGCGGUGGAAGUUGGUGGCGGCGGCCUCUGAGUGCACGCCGGACCGGUGAGACCCAUGCCCGGCAGGCGUCCUGGAUGGGAUCUCAGGUCUUAGAUGUUAGGUUUGGCUGUGAUGCCUGUUUGGUAUUAGGCCCAGGCUAUCUGCGCCCCUUCAUCAACUGGAUAGAGUGGCUUAGACGGCAGCUUUAGUCUGACUGUUGUAUUACUUUGUAAGGUCUUGUGAGAAUAAUUAAUAAAGUGGCCGUAUGCAUCACCCAGAUGCAGAGGUCGGGGGUCAUCAUCCUUUUCUAAAAAAAAGGAGCCAUUCAUUUGAUCUCUUGUACUAAUGAAAAUAUGCAAUAGAGGAACCUAUUGCCUUCCUCAAAAAGAUAAUAAAAACAGAAACCUGAGAGCAACAUACUAAAUCAUGCAUGCACACAAAUCAGACGCACAAAAAAGAUGCACACACCGAACACCGAGCAACUCUUUUUACCUUUUCCUUUUUGGUUUAUCUUGUAUUCUUAUCUGAAACACAUAACCGAACCUUGGUCUCUUGGUGCUACCACAUUUCUGACUUGGUUGCAUACCUCUGCUUCCGAACGAGGGAACCCUGCAGAGCACUGUACAUGUUAACAUGAUGAUGCUUCAAAAGUCAUAGCAAGAGAUGGACCAAACUGCUCUACCUACUCCAACCGAUCGUGGGUUAGCCUUGUAACAAAGCUAUCCAUGCUUAGCCCGGCGUGUUUCCACCGCUACGCGCAUCGACUUAAAAUAAGUGGCAACUCAAACCUGCAAAAGCACAUAAAUAACCCACACAAAAGCAAUGAGCAUCUAUCUAACCUCUGAACCAUAUCACCAUUUAAUUACCCCGCAGACUAACCCUGCGGGCUUGCUUUCGGAACUAGAGAUUGACCAACUACUCCCUCCGUUCCUAAAUACUUGUCUUUCUAGAGAUUUCAACAAGUGACUACAUACGAUGCAAAAUGAGUGAAUCUACACUUUAAAAUAUAUCUACAUACAUCCGUAUAUUGAGUCCAUUUAAAAUGCCUAGAAAGACAAGUAUUUAGGAACGGAGGGAGUAUUAACGAACAAUAUAGUUAACGGAUUUUAACCCAUGGACUUCUUCUCAGCUUUUCGUUUAACCCAUGGACUUGUACUCAUUCAGCUGUCAUCGUCGAUGACUAUAUUUAUCUAUCACUGCCAACUUGGAUGAAGUUGUAUGAUCACGGAUUUCUUCACAAGACAUCAUCGAUGUCAACUUCAUAUGAAGUAGUACCAGCAUCUUCUGACCUCUUUUAGCUAAACAUAUAAAUGGUUGAAAUACAUAAUUCUAGCUGUAAACUAACCUAUAGCUGGAAGAAACUAACUAGAAAAAGUGAAACAUGGGAGGAACCUGCUGUCAGUUUUAAAGAAGCUGUGUUUUUUUUUAAAAAAAAAUUAGGGGUAAGAAGAAGCUGAAUUGGCCAUUCUCCAUAGAAAUCAUACCAAUUCUAGCUACAUGGGCAUUGGGCCGUUUGGAACACAAGGAAAAACUUCAUCUUCGAAGGCCUCCAACCAAAUCUCUAAAGAGCCAAGAGGAAAACUAAGCUUUCUUCUGCUUCCUCUAUGUACAGCUCGUUCUUUUUUAUUAAAAAUAAUAAGAUCAUGCAAUAGGAAAACCUACAGCCAAAAGCUGAAACCUGAGAGGAACAUCUUUAACCAUGCAUGCACACAAAUCAGACACACACACGUAAAAAAAAAUGCUCACAUGGAGUGCAACUCUCUUGCUCAACCAACACAUGUUUACUCUUUCCAGGCACAAGGAAAGCCUCUCAAGCAAUUUGAUGAUAGUACAAACAGAAAGUGAAGGCACACAUCUUCAACAAAUAUAUUUUUUUAACUUUAAAUAUACAAAUCGUGACGCUGAAGAAAAUUAUCUAGCACAAACAGAAACCUGUGGGAAACAUCUUCAAUCAUGCAUGUACACAAGUCACAAACGUAAAAGAUGCACACAUAAAACAAUGUAAGCGACCAAUGCAACUUUAUUGCUGAAUCAAGCAUCUGUUUUACCUUCCACAAAGAAAUUCGAUGAUACAACAGAAACUGAAGUUCAUAAGACACAAAGCAUAAAAUCAACUGCUGUGAUCUGUUAAAUCGCUUGUCACCUACAAGAGAAAGAGCAUACAGCCAUACACUAGGAAAGGAAGAUCAGGGUUCUCAUUUCGUUGUGCAUUAUCGCAGCUACACAGCAUGUCCGCAACUACACCUAAAUCCUGUGCAUCUCUAAGCAUCUAAACAUUACAAGACACUACUCUGCGUCCCUACAUAUUUCUACCAUAAAAGUUCCGCCCCCUGUCCAAGCCAUCCUGUAAUGAACCAAAUCUGCCGGGGCAAGAUUUCUGUUGGUUUCGUAAUAGCAUGGGCGUGUGUUAAACACCAUUACCUUCUUUAUCUGCACUCUGAAAUGAAGUGAAGAAAAGCAGCU